AUACUUACCUAGCAAGGGAGAUACCAUGAUUACAAAAGUGUCUUUCCCAGAGUGAGGCUCAUCCACUGCACCCUGGAUGUGCUGAUCCCUGUGAUUCUCCAUGAGUGAAUCAUUUCUCCACUGAAUCAUUUCUGAUAGGUGGGGAACUGUGUUUCCAU
Apodemus sylvaticus (European woodmouse) is the source of this 158-nucleotide small nuclear RNA. RefSeq annotates it as U1 spliceosomal RNA. The record is from RefSeq and is a predicted model, not a curated record. Lineage: Eukaryota; Metazoa; Chordata; Mammalia; Rodentia; Muridae. The transcript has a single exon.